GUCUCUUCGGAGACAUCCGAUAAAAUUGGAACGAUACAACAAAGAUUAGCAUGGCCACUACGCAAGGAUGACACGCACAAAUGGAGAAAUAGUCCAAAUUUUU
Oryza sativa (Asian cultivated rice) is the source of this 103-nucleotide small nuclear RNA. Lineage: Eukaryota; Viridiplantae; Streptophyta; Magnoliopsida; Poales; Poaceae. The record is from Rfam.